This 301-nucleotide ribosomal RNA is filed under the name uncultured bacterium. RNAcentral describes it as "partial 16S ribosomal RNA". It matches the Rfam family "Bacterial small subunit ribosomal RNA", at positions 509 to 807 of the family's 1533-position model. The record is from RNAcentral.
CAGUCGCCGCGGGAAAACGUAGGUGGCAAGCGUUGUCCGGAAUUAUUGGGCGUAAAGGGCUCGCAGGCGGUUUCUUAAGUCUGAUGUGAAAGCCCCCGGCUCAACCGGGGAGGGUCAUUGGAAGCUGGGAAACUUGAGUGCAGAAGAGGAGAGUGGAAUUCCACGUGUAGCGGUGAAAUGCGUAGAGAUGUGGAGGAACACCAGUGGCGAAGGCGACUCUCUGGUCUGUAACUGACGCUGAGGAGCGAAAGCGUGGGGAGCGAACAGGAUUAGAUACCCCGGUAGUCCCUGUCUCUUAUAC